UUUUGAAAACUAUUCUGUUAUAAGUUACAGAACACAUUAUUUCCGUACUUUUGAUUAAGUGCGUUUAUUGAAGAAUUGUAUGUACGCACGCCAUCAUACAAAUAAAUGAUUUAAAACAAUUUUAAAACGUUACAAACGUGUUAAUACUUAAUAGAACGAAAGAUUUGACAUACAAAUACAUGUUUCGAACAUUUGGAACUGUUUCGUUUAUCAACGUAAUAACAACGAUUUUUUCCUUGGUCUUUACUCAGGAUUAUUGUAUUUCUUGUAAUAUACAAACAUUUCGUCCUCUCUUUGGAACAUACGAAUGUUUCAAAUGGUGUCAUACCAUCAUAGUGGUAUUGAAUAAAUGACAUUGUAUUUAGUAGACUGAAAAUCGUAUCAUUAGGAAUAAACUUGUUGACCCGGAGGGUGUAAUUGUUUUCUACAUUUAAUUAUAUUUUUAGUUUUGUAGAGAAAUAAUUUAUUCGUAUCCCCAAAAUACUCACAAUAUACUGUAUCAUUGCAGCGUAUAAAAAUUUACUUAUGAUUGCCUCUGCAGUAGUAAUAAUUAUGAACACAACAAGAUAAUUUUAAUUAUUUUCACAGCAUUCACAGUAACCGAUGAUCACUAUCCCCCUACGAGGUUCUCAUUCUUCUUGCCGCUUUUACAGUCACAUAUCAUCGCCACCCCCCUACGAGCCUCUCUUUAAGUUAUCUUGCCACAGAUUCCGAUUUUACAGCCACUGAUGAU
This is a long non-coding RNA of Agrilus planipennis (emerald ash borer), 733 nucleotides long. RefSeq lists it as uncharacterized. NCBI's taxonomy places the organism in Eukaryota, Metazoa, Arthropoda, Insecta, Coleoptera, Buprestidae. The transcript is spliced from 3 exons. The record is from RefSeq and is a predicted model, not a curated record.